Molecule: long non-coding RNA, 4420 nt
Organism: Passer domesticus (house sparrow)
Lineage: Eukaryota; Metazoa; Chordata; Aves; Passeriformes; Passeridae
Exons: 5
Source: RefSeq, a predicted model, not a curated record
GAAAAUGUCUCCAGAGUCAACUUACCUAAAAAAUACAAUGCUCUGACAGUCUUGUACCAAAAAAUCAACGUGCCUUAGUCAUUCGAUAGAUGCAAGCUACUAGGAUGAAUAUAUCAUCCUGUUCCUCAAGUAUAUCAUGGAUCAAAACACACUGUUAUUUCUCUGAAGGUACUGAGUUUCUAAAUGAGGUGGUCAUAACCAAAGUAUUUAUGCUUACUUACUUUUUUGUUAGAUCAAAGGUUCGCCUCACAGAGUGGUUCCCUUUGCAGGGUGAUCAGAAAAUGAGGAUGGAUUUUGCUACAGUAGGCAGAUUUAAACAGAGCUACUGAUUCAGCUUAAUUUAGCAGAAAGGUCCCUAUUCAAGAUUUCCCUUCGUGGCCACCUGAUGGUUGUGUUUUUCAAACUUGUUUCCUCUGCUGCAUUAGCCACGACACCUCCAUGAGCACUGGAGACCAGAGGAGCUUUCCCAUCACCAGACCCAGCAUAAGACUCAGCACAGACCUCUACAUUCUUCAGUCAGCAUUGAGCACUGGGAGCCCUGCUGACUUGUUUCUGUGGGCAGACUGGGAUGCACAAGGGAUUCUGCAGUAUCUGGAUAUGACAGAAGACUUUGAAAGGCAGCCUUGCAAAUUUUUCGUUUGGUAUGGUUUUAUACAAAACCAUCUGUGUUUUCAUAUAUAUAGGUCAGAAAAGUAAGUCUGUCUACAUGAGUUAGCACUCAGAUCACAGAAGCAUUGCUAAAGGAUCAGCAUCAGCCUAUGAGAGGCAGAUAUCAGCUCAGAUACCUUUAAAUAUGUGAAUAAUCUCUAAUUCAACAUUGCUUUGAUGCACUAAAUUCUGGCAACUAAUUGGGAAAACCUCUGCGCAAUGCUUGGAGGUGUUUCAAGACUUCCAGGAGUGAAACCUAAGGAGACUUAGACUCUUAAAUCAUGUUGUGGCUUCUGAAGAUGUCACAGUCAUGCUGGGAAACAGCAAUAAAAUUUAAUGGAAAAGAUAGUUCCACAUCACUUUCUGUGGUGUACAAAGACUGCCCUCAGAGCCUUGUAGCUGCACAGGACCAACUCUUGCCAUUUGCUGAAGCUGUCGUUCAGAUAUGGGUCUGUGCUGUUCCAGUGGGGAUCAGGUCUUCUGUCCACAGGUACAUAUGAGUUAAAAGACAACCAUGGAAUGCUAAAUCUGCUGCCAACAGGCUGAAAUCCACUGUGUAAGGAUUGGCAUCUCAGCUGGAGGUCAUCAGCAUGUACUUUGCUACCUAUCAUCAAGUGCCUUCAUAGCUUCACAAAGGUAUUGUAUUAGAGAACAUCUGCAUGAAACCUUGGCACUGCUAAAGUCAACAAGAGCUUUGACUGUAAUUUUUGAAGUCUUUAUCUGCAAUACUACUUCAUUUUUUGAAGGUCAGCUGAAAGGGCUGGGUAGUUUUAUGCUUACAUGGUAACAUGAAAAGAAUGACAAGGCUGAAAAGCUUAAUGAUAGUUAAUUUAGGGGCACUAUUAAGGCUGAGUAAAAGUCAGUAUUUAGAGAUAUAAGUUGAUGAAUUAAUUUCUUGAAAAUGGUAGAAUUACUGUAGUAUCAGAAUAAUUGUAUUUUAUAAUAGUUUUUCAGAAAAUGUCUGUUCUGGGACAGAAAGAAAAUUCAUAUGUUGUUUUUAAGCUUUCACAUAUUUUAUAUUAUAAAUCUGCUCUCCACAUUAAUUUUCUUGCAAUUACAUUUAGCAGCUUCUCUUUUUUUGUAUCAUUCAAAAUAAACCCUAUCAAUGCUCUUCAUACUUUCACUGGACAUAAGGACACAGUUUGAUGUCUGUGGCUGAGUAAAUAGUUUUUUCAAUGCCCCUUGUUUGGUGACUGGUGUCCUGUUAUACAAAAGGAUUGUGAGCUAGGAUGAAUUUUCUUUGCAGAGCAGAUGGAAAUUACUGAGUUUUCUGACAUUCAGGAGGGACUGCAGAGAUGUGUAUGCAUAUAUGACCUACUUUUGUAUGUGCAACCUGCAUUUAAGGAGAGCAGACAUACAAGUUGCCAGCUCUGGUGAGGCUGUGGAAAGGACCCAGCCAGAGUCAGACUGUAAGUCCUGAGUCCUCAGACUUUAUGUAAUAACUAGAAUAUAACCUGCCCCAUAGCCAUGGACUAUAUUUCUUUGGAUAGAUGCAACAAUUUGAAAUAAUUACAUGAAGUAUCUAAAGACCGUGUUCACGUCGGGUUAAACACAGACAAAUGGAGACUCACUUUGCUGGGAGGACUCUGUGUCUGUGCCACUGGAGGAUACUUCCCUCACAGCAUUGCACCUUUUGCUGAGAUACAGCUCCUGAAUCGAUUCAGCUGCGUGUUAUAUAUAAAAAGACAUGUGAUUUUGGCUUAGCUUGCUAGCUGCAAGAACAGUGUCACCAACCAUAAUAAACAAACUGUCUCGCCCAGCUUAAAGAUGCCAUUGUAUUUUCUCUCCACUGCUGUUGAGAGCAGAAGGAAAAGAGGAAGGCCUGAAAUCUGGAAAGGCACAGAGGAAACAAGAAGAAUAAGUCUCUAGAGAGAGGCAAAAAAGCUACAGAACAUUUGUAACAUGGCUGCCACCAAGUCUGCUACUGCUAUCAAAGCCAGGCAGAGGGUGAAGGAAGGGACCACAAAAGGAUGACAAGGUCCAGGGAAGAUAUCCUGGGCCAGAUGCAGAAGGACCUUUUUUCUCCCAGGACCCAGCACGCCUCAUCUCCUGCUAUCACCAAUGUGUGUCCCUCCCACCUCCCUCCUGGGAGGGAAAGCAGUGUGAAAGCAGGCAGUGAGGCCACCUGGAUGCCUGCUCAGCAUGGAUGCCCACCAUAAUUGGAGGAAGAACAUGCCCUUAGCUACUGACAGACCUGGAAACCCAUGGAGGACAGCAGCAGCUGUAACAGGGCGCAGCAGCAUCCUCUGUGUGCACUGCCAGGCUGUCAGGAGGGAUGCUCAGAGAGGCACCAGGAGCGCCUCGCUCCCCGUAUGAGUACCCUGGAACAAGAAGGACACAGAUUUGGUUUGCCAUCCCAGCACGCUGAUGGCAUCUCUGGUGGCCAGUAAAAUACCGAGAGGGCCACUAGAGGGCUCAGAAAGUGCUGCUGAGGAGACAUCCAAAUCCCCUAAAACUGCCAUGCGCUGCAACGCGGUCAUCGCUGCAGCACACAUCCGUGUGAUUUACUGCCGUGUUUACUCCACUGACCACUACCAGCAAUAAAUGGCAUCUGCAAAAUAUCUUCUUGUGGGCUUGACACAUCAGUCUGUUUACUCAGUGAUGCAUGUCAGCAUCAUCAAGUCGUAUCUGCAAGAGCAGGGCAUUAAUUGUUACUGAAACUGAGUCUUCAGAAGUUGAAAGCAUUUACUCAAGGAGUGAAUGAAGUCCAAAUUGCCACCUACAGGGGAUUUCCCAUUUUGGAAAAAAUUUUACUUUCAUCUUACUGAAAAAAGAGAGAUAAUAAUUUACUGAAUACUUCAAAGGUAAUACAAAAGGGAAUUAUGUCACAGUUUCAGGUUAUAUUGUGCGCAGCUUGUCUGUGUUUCUCGAUCACUGAAUAAAAAGGCAAGCUGUUCCUCAUGUUGAAGUUGCUGAUUUCUGCAAUAUAUUUUUUUUGCACAGCCUGUGAAAGCUGUUCAAAAGCAUCUUAGCUGAAGUGUAUUCUGUCAUUAAAACAUAAAUAUUUUGCAGGAGUGUUUCAGUUUAAACAAAAUAAGAGAUGAAAUAAAAGUCUUAAGAUUUGAUCAUGUUAUUUUUUUUAUAUUGACUACUAGCUCACUGACUGUACCAAAACACCUCCACUGAAUAACUGCUUUUUCUGAGAUUCUUUAUGGGCCCUAAUGUGCUGAGUUCAGACACAUACUAAUGUGAAGUAAUAUACCUUUCAAAUGCAAAAAAAAAUCUUUCACAUAAGAAAACUGCAUUACCUGAUGUAGUCCUAUUUAUUCUCACUAUUUAAGUAAUAAAUUUAAAGUACAGAGCUCAUAGUUCAUGUUCUUGUGGUCACUUAUCCACCUAUAAAACAAAGCAUUGUCUAAGCAGCAUCAAAUUCCUGCUUUAUUCUGCAGAGAUGGUGCUCGUGUUUACUUUCAUUUUAAAUAUAGUAGUGAAUUUUAUCAUAAAGACAUCAUAACACAGUUAAAGAAUGUCAAGAAAGGCAAGUUUAUCAGUGUAAGCCAUAUGAUCUUAUUUUAUUGCCCUUAAAGUAAACACUGAGAUGUGCAAUGGUAUCCAUUUCACUUCUUUCUAUGAAGCGUGUAGGUAGGCAUAACACAUUUAUCAAAUUAGCUGAAUUAAAUGAACAUACUGUCAGACAAACAGUUCUUAUCUCAGUCUAACAAUAUUAUAUCAAAAACCCCCAAAUUCUAACCCAGGGGUUUUGACCCCUUUUUGGCAGAGCUGAUGGAGAUACUGUGUGCUCAAAAGUUUCUCCUAGUUUUUGCAGAUGUUU